This 254-nucleotide ribosomal RNA is filed under the name uncultured bacterium. RNAcentral's name for it is "partial 16S ribosomal RNA". It matches the Rfam family "Bacterial small subunit ribosomal RNA", at positions 524 to 776 of the family's 1533-position model. The record is from RNAcentral.
UACGGGGGGAGCAAGCGUUGUUCGGAUUUACUGGGCGUAAAGGGCGCGUAGGCGGCCACCGCAAGUCGACUGUGAAAUCUCCGGGCUUAACCCGGAAAGGUCAGCCGAUACUGCGGGGCUAGAGUGCAGAAGGGGCAACUGGAAUUCUCGGUGUAGCGGUGAAAUGCGUAGAUAUCAAGAGGAACACCUGCGGCGAAGGCGGGUUGCUGGGCCGACACUGACGCUGAGGCGCGAAAGCCAGGGGAGCGAACGGG